RNAcentral lists this ribosomal RNA (496 nucleotides) under uncultured bacterium. RNAcentral describes it as "bacterial SSU rRNA". It matches the Rfam family "Bacterial small subunit ribosomal RNA", at positions 899 to 1397 of the family's 1533-position model. The record is from RNAcentral.
ACUCAAAGGAAUAGACGGGGGCCCGCACAAGCGGAGGAGCAUGUGGUUUAAUUCGAUGAUACGCGAGGAACCUUACCCGGGCUUGAAUUGCAGCGGAAUAAUCAGGAAACUGGUUAGCCUUCGGGCCGCUGUGAAGGUGCUGCAUGGUUGUCGUCAGCUCGUGCCGUGAGGUGUUAGGUUAAGUCCUGCAACGAGCGCAACCCUUACACUUAGUUGCCAGCAUGUAACGAUGGGGACUCUAAGUGAACUGCCUACGCAAGUAGAGAGGAAGGUGGGGAUGACGUCAAAUCAGCACGGCCCUUAUGUUCGGGGCUACACACGUGCUACAAUGGUCGGUACAGAGGGCAGCUACCCCGCGAGGGGAUGCCAAUCUCAAAAGCCGAUCUCAGUUCGGAUCGGAGUCUGUAACUCGACUCCGUGAAGUUGGAUUCGCUAGUAAUCGCGCAUCAGCCAUGACGCGGUGAAUACGUUCCCGGGCCUUGUACACACCGCCCGU